RNAcentral lists this ribosomal RNA (465 nucleotides) under uncultured bacterium. RNAcentral describes it as "partial 16S ribosomal RNA". It matches the Rfam family "Bacterial small subunit ribosomal RNA", at positions 338 to 795 of the family's 1533-position model. The record is from RNAcentral.
CCUACGGUCGGCAGCAGUGGGGAAUAUUGCACAAUGGGGGAAACCCUGAUGCAGCGACGCCGCGUGAGUGAAGAAGUAAUUCGUUAUGUAAACCUCUGUCAGCAGGGAAGAACGGUCACUGUGCUAAUCAGCAGUGAAUUGACGGUACCUGCAAAGGAAGCACCGGCUAACUCCGUGCCAGCAGCCGCGGUAAUACGGAGGGUGCGAGCGUUAAUCGGAAUUACUGGGCGUAAAGCGCUCGUAGGCGGUAUGUCAAGUCAAGGGUGAAAUCCCCGCGCUCAACGUGGGAACUGCCUUUGAAACUGGCAAACUGGAGUGUGUGAGAGGAUAGUGGAAUUCCAGGUGUAGGAGUGAAAUCCGUAGAUAUCUGGAGGAACAUCAGUGGCGAAGGCGACUAUCUGGCACAUAACUGACGCUGAGGAGCGAAAGCGUGGGUAGCAAACAGGAUUAGAUACCCGAGUAGUC